This 695-nucleotide ribosomal RNA is filed under the name uncultured bacterium. Its description in RNAcentral is "bacterial SSU rRNA". It matches the Rfam family "Bacterial small subunit ribosomal RNA", at positions 54 to 745 of the family's 1533-position model. The record is from RNAcentral.
CAUGCAAGUCGAACGCGAAAGCGCCUUCGGGCGUAAGUAGAGUGGCGGACGGGUGAGUAAUGCAUAGGAAUCUGCCCAGUAGUGGGGGACAACUACCGGAAACGGUAGCUAAUACCGCAUACGCCCUAUGGGGGAAAGCGGGGGAUCUUCGGACCUCGUGCUAUUGGAUGAGCCUAUGUCAGAUUAGCUGGUUGGUGGGGUAAUGGCCUACCAAGGCAACGAUCUGUAGCUGGUUUGAGAGGAUGAUCAGCCACACUGGGACUGAGACACGGCCCAGACUCCUACGGGAGGCAGCAGUGGGGAAUAUUGGACAAUGGGCGCAAGCCUGAUCCAGCAAUACCGCGUGUGUGAAGAAGGCCUAAGGGUUGUAAAGCACUUCAAUCGCGAAGAUGGGCAGCAAGGAUAAUACCCUUGUUGCUUGACGUUAGCGAUACAAGAAGCACCGGCUAACUCCGUGCCAGCAGCCGCGGUAAUACGGAGGGUGCGAGCGUUAAUCGGAAUUACUGGGCGUAAAGCGCACGUAGGCGGUCAGAUCAGUCGGAUGUGAAAGCCCUGGGCUCAACUCGGGAACUGCAUUCGAUACUAUCUGGCUAGAGUUUGGUAGAGGGUGACGGAAUUCCAGGUGUAGCGGUGAAAUGCGUAGAUAUCUGGAGGAACAUCAGUGGCGAAGGCGGUUACCUGGAUCAAAACUGACG